This 560-nucleotide ribosomal RNA is filed under the name uncultured bacterium. RNAcentral's name for it is "bacterial SSU rRNA". It matches the Rfam family "Bacterial small subunit ribosomal RNA", at positions 224 to 801 of the family's 1533-position model. The record is from RNAcentral.
GAUGGACCCGCGUCUGAUUAGCUAGUUGGUGAGGUAACGGCCCACCAAGGCGACGAUCAGUAGCCGGCCUGAGAGGGUGAACGGCCACAUUGGGACUGAGACACGGCCCAAACUCCUACGGGAGGCAGCAGUGGGGAAUAUUGCACAAUGGGGGAAACCCUGAUGCAGCGACGCCGCGUGAAGGAAGAAGUAUUUCGGUAUGUAAACUUCUAUCAGCAGGGAAGAAAAUGACGGUACCUGACUAAGAAGCCCCGGCUAACUACGUGCCAGCAGCCGCGGUAAUACGUAGGGGGCAAGCGUUAUCCGGAUUUACUGGGUGUAAAGGGAGCGUAGGCGGUAUGGUAAGUCAGAUGUGAAAACCCAGGGCUCAACCCUGGGACUGCAUUUGAAACUGCCAGACUAGAUUGCAGGAGAGGUAAGUGGAAUUCCUAGUGUAGCGGUGAAAUGCGUAGAUAUUAGGAGGAACACCAGUGGCGAAGGCGGCUUACUGGACUGUAAAUGACGCUGAGGCUCGAAAGCGUGGGGAGCAAACAGGAUUAGAUACCCUGGUAGUCCACGCC